RNAcentral lists this ribosomal RNA (1029 nucleotides) under Triticum aestivum (bread wheat). RNAcentral's name for it is "partial small subunit ribosomal RNA". Lineage: Eukaryota; Viridiplantae; Streptophyta; Magnoliopsida; Poales; Poaceae. The record is from RNAcentral.
AUGGCGGGUGUGAGCUCCCUGAAGCGUAGUCAUAUUUGGCGAGUGGGAAACGGGCAGAAUAUUGACAUUUGGGAGGACGCAUGGAUUCCAAAUUGUGCAAACCGUAAAAUUGUUACCCCUAAGGGAGGCCAGUUGUUACGGAAGGUAGCAGAUUUGAUUGAUCCAAUCCUAAAUAGUUGGGAUGAAGAUCUUCUCACACAGACUCUAUGGCCUAUUGAUGUUCAGCGAGUGCUUACGAUCCCGAUAUCGCAACAUGAUAUGCCAGAUUUCAUAGCUUGGAAUUUCACAAAAAAUGGGACUUUUUCAGUUCGGUCUUCUUAUUUUGUGGAAUGGGACCACCAAUAUGGGAACAAGUUACGACAUACCAAUGGGAUGGGACGUACCACGGUCAAUCCUAUUUGGGCGAGGAUUUGGAAGCUUGCUUGUCCAGCAAAGGUUAAAAUAUUUAUUUGGCGUACACUUCACAACACUAUUCCGUGUAGUGUUAACUUAGCUAAUAGACAUGUGAAAGUCUCGCCUAAGUGUCCUGCCUGCUCAUCUGGGCCAGAAGACACAAAACACUUGUUGUUUCUAUGUGACAGAGCAAAAGAAGUCUGGAGAAGACUAGGGAUGGACGAUAUUAUCGACAGAGCUUGUAAAAUAGACUAUGCGGGUGAGGCAAUCUUGGAAUAUUUACUUUCAUUACCAGAUCAGGAACUAUGUAUUAUGGGCACUCGUAAUGUGCGUGACAUGAUUGCCAUAUCAGCCUGGUACUUGUGGUGGGAAAGGCUCAAAUUGGUACACAAUGAGACUACUCAGAAUGCACAACAGAUAUCCAUGGGGAUACGCGCUCUCGCUGCCAAUUUUGUUAAUGCCUCCUCGUCGAAGGCUUCCAUUAAAAGAGGAGGAUGGUCUAAUCCCCCGACGGGAUUUGUUAAACUUAAUGUUGAUGCUUCUUUUGAUCACGACCUUCUCAGGGGUACGAUCGGGGCUGUCUUAAGAGAUGACAAAGGUAGGUUCAUCGGUGGGGGAAAUGAUAAGAUUGACUGA